This 405-nucleotide ribosomal RNA is filed under the name uncultured bacterium. Its description in RNAcentral is "bacterial SSU rRNA". It matches the Rfam family "Bacterial small subunit ribosomal RNA", at positions 354 to 776 of the family's 1533-position model. The record is from RNAcentral.
GUGGGGAAUAUUGGACAAUGGGCGAAAGCCUGAUCCAGCAAUGCCGCGUGAGUGAUGAAGGCCUUAGGGUUGUAAAGCUCUUUUACCCGGGAAGAUAAUGACGGUACCGGGAGAAUAAGCCCCGGCUAACUCCGUGCCAGCAGCCGCGGUAAUACGGAGGGGGCUAGCGUUGUUCGGAAUUACUGGGCGUAAAGCGCACGUAGGCGGUUACUCAAGUCAGAGGUGAAAGCCUGGGGCUCAACUCCAGAACUGCCUUUGAAACUAGGUGACUUGAAUCAUGGAGAGGCGGGUGGAAUUCCGAGUGUAGAGGUGAAAUUCGUAGAUAUUCGGAAGAACACCAGUGGCGAAGGCGGCCCGCUGGACAUGUAUUGACGCUGAGGUGCGAAAGCGUGGGGAGCAAACAGG